This 86-nucleotide small RNA is filed under the name Limosilactobacillus gastricus PS3. Its description in RNAcentral is "Lactobacillus gastricus PS3 RNA anti-toxin A". It matches the Rfam family "RNA anti-toxin A". Lineage: Bacteria; Bacillati; Bacillota; Bacilli; Lactobacillales; Lactobacillaceae. The record is from Rfam by way of RNAcentral.
UAAUAAAAACAAAAAAAGAAGCCUUGAGAAACCAGGACUUCCAUAGAACCGUUAAAGACGGUAACAAAGUUUUGCCUUAUGAAAUA